AGGUUCCCAUUGAAAGCUGCUGGAGUGAUGCAUACAGUUGCACUGCGAACAGAAGCAACCAUUACUACUAGUACUGAAAUGCCACCUAAUCUUGGUCAAGCCUUCAAGGUAAAGCUGCAGCUUGAUUUCCUUCUUUCUAAACUUUGCUAUCUAAUCCAUACUGACAAUAACGAUGUUUACAGAACCAUAUGAGUGAGAUGUUUGCAUACCAUGCAACCAUGAUGUCAAACACGCUUGGAACUUCAACUGUUGUCUUCACCAGAACUGGUUUCAUGGCCAUACUUUUAAGUCACUAUCGCCCUUCUGGCACCAUCUAUGCCUUCACGAAUGAGUUAGUACUCCAUGUUUAUUCUUUUCAAAAAUAAAUGACUGACAACUGGUUAGAUUUUAAGAACUCACGGUAGAGGUUUUGCUCUGCAGGAAAAAAAUACAGCAAAGAUUAGCCUUGUAUCAAGGGGUGUGCCCCAUAUAUAUGGAGUUCUCAGAUGAUGCAGAGGACACUUUCACUAAAGCUUUGGCUACAUUACUGGUAAACUCAAAAGGAUCUCUUUGAAAGAAAACUAUAUGUAGCUUUCUAUUUUAUAUUUGGAAAUAUACUAGAUAUUUUGUGGUUAUGGGGAUUAAGAGUUUGAGUUGGUAACUUUUGGAUGAACAGAAACAAGGAAUGGUGAAGAAGGGAGAGGAAAUAGCGAUUGUACAGAGUGGGUCACAACCAAUCUGGCGGUCUCAAUCGACUCAUAACAUCCAAGUCCGCAAGGUGUAGAGCCUUUUCAGGAGUCUCAAUAUCUCACCUGGUCAGUGUGUUUUUUUCGUUUAUCUGUAAAACCGUUUUCGGUUAACUUUCCUUGCACGUCCUUGUGUACUCUAAAUCCUACUGUUUACUGUAUCUUAUUCAGUUUGUUUUACUUUGGCAGACGUUGUUGUUAGCUCAUUAGUUGUUUGUGAGACAAAUGUUAAUUUAGAUUGAGUAAUAAAUGUGUGAGAAUCCUCUAAUACACAGCUAUGUUGUUGUACUUGGGUAAAAUGUUACUGUAAAAACUAAAAAACGGAAGAUGCAACUAAGUAACUGUGAAAGAUUAAAGGAUCCUACUGUUCUUGGUAUAGAGAUUUGCCAUGCAGAAUUCUGUAUGAUGAAUAUGCAAACUUACGGCCUUGGCCAUUUGAAUCAAUUAAUCCCAACACAAAUUAUGCAAACUUCUGCUAAAAACUCUAGUAUUGGCAAGAUUUUGUAAUAUAAAAUACAAUGAGAUUUCAUUUACAUUUAGGGUUUGGAGUAGCUCCCUGUUUGCAACAUAAAUUCUAACAAAAGACAACUCUGCUCAUUCUAAUUGUAAGUGGGACUUUAAGUGUAGUCCUUAUUUCAGUGUUUAAGAUAAUACAAAAAGAGUUUGCCUAAGAAUCAUCAUCCUGAAACAAAGCCUUUGGUACGGAACUACGAGGCAGUGUCCCACACUCGUAUUCAUCUCUGUCAUCAGUUCGUGUUCGUUUGUUAUCUCCUGUCACUGGUGUCUCGCAUACUCUGUCAUAGUCCACUGAUCUAUGUUCGUUCUUCCGUUUGCCUAAUCUCUUUUGCUGUUCCGCUUUGUCUUUAGAGUUCUUUGCUUGUUUCGGUGCCCAAACUCUACAAAGAUCAGGCAUCCAACUUGUGAAACUCGAGAAUCUUCUUGCCCUUUCCCUCAUUUCUUGUGCUUCAACUACUUUCCUAGCUUCUCUGCACUCCCUGCUCUCUUUCUUCAAAAGGUUCUUCUUACUCGAACUAGGGUUUUUGGAAUGUGAAAUUUAGGAUUCUAAUAAAUAUAUAAAUAAAUACUUAAAAAAUAUAUAAAAAAUUUCAAAAAAUAGUUUCAAACAUAAUUUUCGUUUUUCAAAAAGAAAUUUGAAAAAAAAAAUUAAAAAAAAUUUCGAAAAAAAAUUUCAAAAAGAAAAAUUAUAAAAAAGUUCGAAUUUGAAAAAGUAUAAUUCGCAAACAUAAAAACAAAUUUAUUUUUUUUAUUUUUUUAUUUUUUUUUAUUUUUAUUAUUUUUUAAUACUUUUUUUAAUUUAAAUAAUGAUUUAUUAUAUAUAUAAUAACAAGGGCAUAAGAAUCUUUUGCCACUUAAUGAAGAAUGUAUUUUUGAAAAUGUCUUUUUAGUGGUGGUAAAAAUGAAAAGUGAUACCAUGAAAGUGGUAAACAUGUGGACAAAACAAUAUAUGUCGUUUCUUAACCUUUAACUAUAAACAUAAAGAUACUGAAAUUUUUUGUUAACAUAUAACUAUGAACAUAAAGAUACUUUGAAAACUUUUAUUUACAUAAUAUAUAGAUUAAUCAAUAUUUUUUGGUCUUAAAUUUAUUAGAUAUACAUAAAAACUAUAAUAUUGUUUGUUAUUGAUAUAUAGUUUUUGAUAUGAGUAGGCGUUCGGAUACUCAUUCGGGUUCGUUUUGGGAUAUACUAGGAUUUUGGAUUUUUGGGCUUAAAGAUUUUAGCCCUAUUUCAGUAUUUAUAAAAUUUGGGUUGGGUUCAUAUUCGUAUCUUUGCGGGUUCGGUUCGGGUUUGAAAAAUCCAUUUAAAUUAUUUUAAAUUUUUUAAAUUUAUUAUAUACUAUAAAUUUUAAUAGCGUAUGUCAAAAUACCUAAACUUAACAAAUAAAUCGGUUUAGCUUGAAUAUUUGGAUAGAGAAUCAAUAGAUAUUUCAAUUAUUUUGAGUAUUAUUUAGCUAUUUUAGACAUUUAAUUUUACCAUUUGUAUAUAUUUCAAGUAUUUUGGUCAAUUUUAAAAUAUCUUUUCUAUUUUAGAUAUUUGUAUAUUAAAGCUAAAAAUAAUUAAAAUAUUUAGAUAUAUAAAUCUAUUUCGGACACACUCGGGAAGCUGGAAUACUUUGGUUUGGAUCCCGUUCCGGUUCUCUAUAUACCAAAAUUUUGGACCGUUCGGAUAUUUAACCAAUUUCGAAUCCAGUUUGGUAAUACUUUAUCGGAUUGAAAAUCGACAUGACCAUCUUCAGCUAAGGUAUUUCUCUUAGGAUGUGUCUGUGCAGUGGAAAUAGUUGAAAGAAUGUGCAAUUAUAGCUGAACAUUAGUAACACAUUAGGAAGACACUCACAAGAGUAGCAAUUGGAGAAGGUGUGAAAUGGGACAUAUUAAUCUUCAAGGUCUAGAAAUGAAGAUUCCUAAACGUUAGGAUACUCAUAAUAGGAGCUGAGAAUUUCAAAUGUAUAGGAUGAAGCUAAAGAGUUAGGACAAAACACAUGAGAAAAGAUUAUUAUAGGAGUAUCUCAUACGAAGAUGGUGAAAAGGGUAACACCAUAUAUGACUAUCACUGAAGGAAGACACUGAUAUUCAGGUUUCGAGGAAAAUAAGGAAGUUGGGUUGAUAACAAAGAUUUUGACAAGAAUAUAAAGAUCGAGAAUGUAAAUCUUUGGUUGUCUUUUGGACGGGAGACAUGUUUUGAGGAGGAAAGAAAAAAAAUCGAAUAUGAACCGAAAGUUAUGACAUUGCCCAUAUAAGACAAGACAAUGUGGCAAGCAUUGAAGUCAGUUUUAGAUACCUUAUAUUGUAUAUAACUAAUGUAAUUGUCUAGGUUUUUAUGUAUCAGAAUGGUGUUGUAUUUUCGCUCUUGUAUAAAAUUUGUACUGAUAAGCUAUAGACUUUUCUUUAGUCUAGUGAAAUUUGAAAAGCAAAAGUUUUCUUCUUCAGACAAAGCGGUUAAAGAUUGCAAAUUGAGUUACCAAUUUGUUGUGCGUUCUUUUAUUGCAUAUAUAUCAGUCUUUAGUUACAGAAAGUUGAACCCUCAUAUUACUGUAUUGAAUAUAAAUUUUCUGUUUUCAUUAAAAUUUUGGUUAAAUUUGUAUAACAGUUUAAUUCCAGUUCGGAAUGUUGACUUGAACAUGAUUCUGAAAAAAAGAACGAUAUGAUUUGGUACAAAUUACUAAACCGAAUUAAAUUUUGCAAAUAUACCGAUCGGUUCAGAGCCCAUACCGAUUCGGUUUUAGAUUAAAAAACCGGAAGGGUUACUUUUAUAUGAUUUGUCACACUCUCUUUCGAUACAAACUAAGCAUUUCUUCGUAAACUCCGCCGAUAUAUCAAACUCUUCACUACUCUUUUAGCGUUUCAACCUCUCUCUCUCUCCCUCCCACUCUCAUUCUUUCGCAACUUCUUCUCCGCGGAAACCAAAAUGGCUCAGGUCGUUGCUACAAGGUCGAUUCAAGGCUCGAUGUUGAGUCCCAACGGUGGAUCUGUUUCCACGAGAUCCGACAAGCUUCUGAAGCCGGCGAGUUUCGCAGUGAAGGUUCUUGGCAACGAAUCCAAGAAGAGCGGAAGAGUGUCCGUAAGAGGAGGAAGAAAGGUUGAUACCACUGUGAGAUCCGCUCGUGUGGAGACCGAAGUCAUUCCAGUGUCUCCCGAGGAUGUUCCAAACGUAUGUGUAAAAGCUUUAGAUAAGAAAGCAUUUCCAUGUUUUUACUGAAGUGAAUUGUUUUUUUUUUUUACUGUGUGGUUAAUUAGAGAGAGGAGCAACUGGAGCGGUUUUUGGAAAUGCAGAAGUUUAGUGACACAUCGGUAGGGAUGUGGUCGAAACCGACAGUGAGGAGGAAGACUAAGAUUGUGUGCACCGUUGGUCCUUCUACCAACACACGAGAGAUGAUAUGGAAACUGGCUGAAGCUGGGAUGAAUGUUGCAAGGAUGAACAUGUCUCAUGGGGAUCAUGCUUCUCAUAAGAAGGUUAUUGAUUUGGUCAAAGAGUACAAUGCGCAAUCUAAGGACAACACCAUUGCCAUCAUGCUUGAUACCAAGGUUUUGUUUUUUUUUUUGUUUCCCAUUUAAUUCAAAGUUUUAUUCUCUUUUUUUAUUUUUAAAGUAUAUUUUCUUCAUUGUUCUUUAGGGUCCAGAAGUUAGGAGUGGAGAUUUACCCCAGCCGAUUAUGUUAGACCCUGGUCAAGAGUUUACUUUUACAAUUGAGAGAGGAGUCAGCACCCCAAGUUGUGUCAGUGUUAACUAUGAUGAUUUUGUCAACGAUGUGGAGGCUGGAGACAUGCUCCUUGUUGAUGGUAUGUGUUGAUCUCUCAUUACUUGGUGUAAAAGGAUUUUUUGUUGUUCUCCAAUAUAGUGGGAAUGAUUGUUCUAUGUUUCAGGUGGUAUGAUGUCGUUUAUGGUGAAGUCUAAGACUAAAGAGACUGUCAUAUGUGAGGUUGUUGAUGGUGGAGAACUAAAGUCAAGGAGACACUUGAAUGUCCGAGGGAAAAGUGCAACAUUACCUUCAAUCACUGGUUCGACCUUCUGUUUCACCCUCUUUAUUUAAUUCUGAAUGAUCUUGCUCUGAUAUAUCUAUUUUGUAAUUCUUUUCUUUUUAUUUCAGAGAAGGAUUGGGAGGAUAUUAAGUUCGGAGUGGAGAACAAAGUUGACUUCUAUGCGGUUUCUUUUGUCAAAGAUGCACAAGUAGUGCAUGAACUGAAGAAUUACCUUCAAGGUUGUGGUGCCGAUAUUCACGUGAUAGUAAAAAUUGAAAGCGCAGACUCCAUACCCAACUUGCAUUCCAUUAUCACCGCAUCAGAUGGGGUAAUUUUUUUUUCCCAUCAACGUUCUUUCCUUUUACAACAACAUGUUGGAGAUUGUUAUGUGAAACUAUUUAUAUAGAGGAUUGUGCUGCUUAAUGAGAUGUGUAUACUUCUUCCACAGGCAAUGGUUGCAAGAGGUGAUCUUGGUGCUGAGCUUCCUAUUGAGGAAGUACCCAUUCUUCAGGUUAGCGCUUGCUUCUCAUUUAAGAUAAACCAAGAAAACGAGCUCCUCAAAUUCAACAGCUUUGCUAUUGAUAUGCAGGAGAGGAUCAUUAACCUAUGCCGUAGCAUGGGAAAAGCUGUUAUUGUUGCAACUAACAUGCUUGAGAGUAUGAUAGUUCAUCCGACUCCAACCCGAGCGGAGGUUUCUGAUAUUGCUAUAGCUGUUAGAGAAGGUGCUGAUGCAGUCAUGCUUUCAGGAGAAACUGCUCACGGAAAGUAAGUGACUGAUUUAGCUCAUGUUUGUUUGGAUAUAGAAAGUAUUGACUGAGCUUUACUUUGGUAACAGGUUCCCAUUGAAAGCUGCUGGAGUGAUGCAUACAGUUGCACUGCGAACAGAAGCAACCAUUACUACUAGUACUGAAAUGCCACCUAAUCUUGGUCAAGCCUUCAAGGUAAAGCUGCAGCUUGAUUUCCUUCUUUCUAAACUUUGCUAUCUUAUCCAUACUGACAAGAACGAUGUUUACAGAACCAUAUGAGUGAGAUGUUUGCAUACCAUGCAACCAUGAUGUCAAACACGCUUGGAACUUCAACUGUUGUCUUCACCAGAACUGGUUUCAUGGCCAUACUCUUAAGUCACUAUCGCCCUUCUGGCACCAUCUAUGCCUUCACAAAUGAGUGAGUAAUAAAUGUUUAUCCUUCCAGAACAACUGGUAGAUGUUAAGAACUAACGGUAGAGGCUUUUCUUCUGCAGGAAAAAAAUACAGC
This 6453-nucleotide long non-coding RNA is filed under the name Brassica napus (rape). RNAcentral describes it as "long non-coding RNA (BNAP_LNC001266)". Lineage: Eukaryota; Viridiplantae; Streptophyta; Magnoliopsida; Brassicales; Brassicaceae. The record is from RNAcentral.